CAGCAGCCGCGGUAAUACAGAGGGUGCAAGCGUUAAUCGGAUUUACUGGGCGUAAAGUGUGCGUAGGCGGCUUCUUAAGUCGGAUGUGAAAUCCCUGAGCUUAACUUAGGAAUUGCAUUCGAUACUGGGAAGCUAGAGUAUGGGAGAGGAUGGUAGAAUUCCAGGUGUAGCGGUGAAAUGCGUAGAGAUCUGGAGGAAUACCGAUGGCGAAGGCAGCCAUCUGGCCUAAUACUGACGCUGAGGUACGAAAGCAUGGGGAGCAAACAGGAUUAGAUACCCGUGUAGUCCCUGUCUCUUAUAC
RNAcentral lists this ribosomal RNA (301 nucleotides) under uncultured bacterium. RNAcentral's name for it is "partial 16S ribosomal RNA". It matches the Rfam family "Bacterial small subunit ribosomal RNA", at positions 509 to 807 of the family's 1533-position model. The record is from RNAcentral.